CCCUGCCAUUUGUACACACCGCCCGUCGCUACUACCGAUUGAAUGGCUCGGUGAGGCCUUCGGACUGGCGCAGGAGGGUUGGCAACGACCCCCCCGCGCCGGAAAGUUGGUCAAACCCGGUCAUUUAGAGGAAGUAAAAGUCGUAACAAGGU
RNAcentral lists this ribosomal RNA (152 nucleotides) under uncultured eukaryote. RNAcentral describes it as "partial small subunit ribosomal RNA". It matches the Rfam family "Eukaryotic small subunit ribosomal RNA", at positions 1651 to 1800 of the family's 1831-position model. The record is from RNAcentral.